AUUGGGGGCGCAACGCCCU
RNAcentral lists this small nuclear RNA (19 nucleotides) under Arabidopsis thaliana (thale cress). RNAcentral's name for it is "snRNA_12086". The record is from RNAcentral. Lineage: Eukaryota; Viridiplantae; Streptophyta; Magnoliopsida; Brassicales; Brassicaceae.